GCCAGGCAUGGUGGUGUGUGCCUGUAGUCCCAGCUACUUGGGAGGCUGAGGCAGGAGGAUUGCUUGAGCCCAGGAUGUCAAGGCUGCAGUGAGCUAUGAUCUCAUCAUUGCACUCCAGCCUGGGCAACACAGCAAGAUACUGCCUCAA
RNAcentral lists this signal recognition particle RNA (148 nucleotides) under Nomascus leucogenys (northern white-cheeked gibbon). Its description in RNAcentral is "Metazoan signal recognition particle RNA". It matches the Rfam family "Metazoan signal recognition particle RNA". Rfam says of the family: The signal recognition particle (SRP) is a universally conserved ribonucleoprotein. It is involved in the co-translational targeting of proteins to membranes. Lineage: Eukaryota; Metazoa; Chordata; Mammalia; Primates; Hylobatidae. The record is from Rfam by way of RNAcentral.